RNAcentral lists this ribosomal RNA (450 nucleotides) under uncultured bacterium. Its description in RNAcentral is "partial 16S ribosomal RNA". It matches the Rfam family "Bacterial small subunit ribosomal RNA", at positions 354 to 796 of the family's 1533-position model. The record is from RNAcentral.
GUGGGGAAUUUUGGACAAUGGGCGAAAGCCUGAUCCAGCCAUGCCGCGUGUGUGAAGAAGGUCUUCGGAUUGUAAAGCACUUUAAGUUGGGAGGAAGGGUAGUAACCUAAUACGUUGCUACUUUGACGUUACCGACAGAAUAAGCACCGGCUAACUUCGUGCCAGCAGCCGCGGUAAUACGAAGGGUGCAAGCGUUAAUCGGAAUUACUGGGCGUAAAGCGCGCGUAGGUGGUUCAGGAAGUUGGAAGUGAAAUCCCCGGGCUCAACCUGGGAACUGCUUUCAAAACUGCUGAGCUAGAGUACGGUAGAGGGUGGUGGAAUUUCCUGUGUAGCGGUGAAAUGCGUAGAUAUAGGAAGGAACACCAGUGGCGAAGGCGACCACCUGGACUGAUACUGACACUGAGGUGCGAAAGCGUGGGGAGCAAACAGGAUUAGAAACCCUUGUAGUCC